UACGUAGGGGGCAAGCGUUGUCCGGAUUUAUUGGGCGGAAAGAGCGUGUAGGCGGCCUGACAGGUCUGCUGUGAAAACUCGAGGCUCAACCUCGAGAUGUCGGCGGAAACCGUCUGGCUAGAGUCCGGAAGAGGAGAGUGGAAUUCCUGGUGUAGCGGUGAAAUGCGCAGAUAUCAGGAAGAACACCUAUGGCGAAGGCAGCUCUCUGGGACGGUACUGACGCUGAGACGCGAAAGCGUGGGGAGCGAACAGG
Molecule: ribosomal RNA, 253 nt
Filed under: uncultured bacterium
Lineage: Bacteria
Description: partial 16S ribosomal RNA
Rfam family: Bacterial small subunit ribosomal RNA
Source: RNAcentral